Molecule: ribosomal RNA, 539 nt
Filed under: uncultured Bacteroidota bacterium
Lineage: Bacteria; Pseudomonadati; Bacteroidota
Description: bacterial SSU rRNA
Rfam family: Bacterial small subunit ribosomal RNA
Source: RNAcentral
ACGGGAGGCAGCAGUAAGGAAUAUUGGUCAAUGGACGCAAGUCUGAACCAGCCAUGCCGCGUGGAGGAUGAAGGUCCUCUGGAUUGUAAACUUCUUUUAUCUGGGAAGAAAAAAGGGAAUUCUUUCUCGUCUGACGGUACCAGAAGAAUAAGCACCGGCUAACUCCGUGCCAGCAGCCGCGGUAAUACGGAGGGUGCAAGCGUUAUCCGGAUUCACUGGGUUUAAAGGGUGCGUAGGCGGGUAUGUAAGUCCGUGGUGAAAUCUCCGAGCUUAACUCGGAAACUGCCAUGGGUACUGCGUAUCUUGAAUGUGGUGGAGGUGAGCGGAAUAUGUCAUGUAGCGGUGAAAUGCUUAGAUAUGACAUAGAACACCAAUUGCGAAGGCAGCUCACUACACAAAUAUUGACGCUGAGGCACGAAAGCGUGGGGAUCAAACAGGAUUAGAUACCCUGGUAGUCCACGCCCUAAACGAUGAUUACUCGACAUACGCGAUACACAGCAUGUGUCUGAGCGAAAGCAUUAAGUAAUCCACCUGGAGAC